RNAcentral lists this ribosomal RNA (424 nucleotides) under uncultured prokaryote. RNAcentral describes it as "bacterial SSU rRNA". It matches the Rfam family "Bacterial small subunit ribosomal RNA", at positions 355 to 796 of the family's 1533-position model. The record is from RNAcentral.
UGAGGAAUAUUGGACAAUGGGGGCAACCCUGAUCCAGCCAUGCCGCGUGAGUGAAGAAGGCCUUAGGGUUGUAAAGCUCUUUCAAUCGUGAAGAUAAUGACGGUAGCGAUAGAAGAAGCCCCGGCUAAAUUCGUGCCAGCAGCCGCGGUAAUACGAAUGGGGCAAGCGUUGUUCGGAAUCACUGGGCUUAAAGCGUGCGUAGGCGGAAACGCAAGUCAGGCGUGAAAUCCCGAGGCUCAACCUCGGAACUGCGCUUGAAACUGCGUUUCUAGAAUCCGAUAGAGGUCAGGAGAAUUCCUAGUGUAGAGGUGAAAUUCGCAGAUAUUAGGAGGAAUACCAGUGGCGUAGGCGCCUGACUGGGUCGGUAUUGACGCUGAGGUACGAAAGCGUGGGGAGCAAACAGGAUUAGAUACCCCCGUAGUCC